GACGAACGCUGGCGGCGUGCCUAAUACAUGCAAGUAGAACGCUGAAGAGAGGAGCUUGCUCUUCUUGGAUGAGUUGCGAACGGGUGAGUAACGCGUAGGUAACCUGCCUUGUAGCGGGGGAUAACUAUUGGAAACGAUAGCUAAUACCGCAUAACAAUGGAUGACACAUGUCAUUUAUUUGAAAGGGGCAAUUGCUCCACUACAAGAUGGACCUGCGUUGUAUUAGCUAGUAGGUGAGGUAAUGGCUCACCUAGGCGACGAUACAUAGCCGACCUGAGAGGGUGAUCGGCCACACUGGGACUGGGACACGGCCCAGACUCCUACGGGAGGCAGCAGUAGGGAAUCUUCGGCAAUAGGGGCAACCCUGACCGAGCAACGCCGCGUGAGUGAAGAAGGGUUUCGGAUCGUAAAGCUCUGUUGUAAGUCAAGAACGGGUGUGAGAGUGGAAAGUUCACACUGUGACGGUAGCUUACCAGAAAGGGACGGCUAACUACGUG
RNAcentral lists this ribosomal RNA (497 nucleotides) under uncultured bacterium. Its description in RNAcentral is "partial 16S ribosomal RNA". It matches the Rfam family "Bacterial small subunit ribosomal RNA", at positions 28 to 507 of the family's 1533-position model. The record is from RNAcentral.